Molecule: non-coding RNA, 115 nt
Organism: Triticum aestivum (bread wheat)
Lineage: Eukaryota; Viridiplantae; Streptophyta; Magnoliopsida; Poales; Poaceae
Source: Rfam
UUCUUACUCCCUCCGUUCGGAAUUACUUGUCACAGAAACGGAUGUAUCUAGACGUAUUUUAGUUCUAGAUAUAUCUAUUUUCGAGACAAAUAAUUCCGAACGGAGGGAGUACAUC